This 624-nucleotide ribosomal RNA is filed under the name Fomitopsis pinicola. RNAcentral describes it as "eukaryotic LSU rRNA". The stretch from base 209 to 362 matches the Rfam family "5.8S ribosomal RNA". Lineage: Eukaryota; Fungi; Basidiomycota; Agaricomycetes; Polyporales; Fomitopsidaceae. The record is from RNAcentral.
AAGGGGUUGUAGCUGGCUGUUUCGUUUGAGCGGCAUGUGCACGCCCUGAUCAUUAUCCAUCUCACACACCUGUGCACAUACUGUAGGUCGGCUUUUGAUUGGAGUGGGGUCUUCAUCGACUCUGCUUUUUAGUUGGGGCCUUCCUAUGUUUUAUCACACACUACUUCAGUUUAAAGAAUGUCCUCUUGCGUCUAACGCAUUUAAAUACAACUUUCAGCAACGGAUCUCUUGGCUCUCGCAUCGAUGAAGAACGCAGCGAAAUGCGAUAAGUAAUGUGAAUUGCAGAAUUCAGUGAAUCAUCGAAUCUUUGAACGCACCUUGCGCUCCUUGGUAUUCCGAGGAGCAUGCCUGUUUGAGUGUCAUGGAAUUCUCAACUCUAUUUGCUUUUGUGAAUAGAGCUUGGACUUGGAGGUUUAUUGCCGGUACCUGUGAUCGGCUCCUCUUGAAUGCAUUAGCUCGAACCUUUUGUGGAUCAGCUUAUCGGUGUGAUAAAAUGUCUACGCCGUUACUGUGAAGCAUAUUAUUCGGCUUCCAAUCGUCCUUCACGGGACAAUAACUUUGACCUUUGACCUCAAAUCAGGUAGGAUUACCCGCUGAACUUAAGCAUAUCAAUAAGCGGAGGAA